RNAcentral lists this ribosomal RNA (2148 nucleotides) under Hemimerus talpoides. RNAcentral's name for it is "partial 28S ribosomal RNA". It matches the Rfam family "Eukaryotic large subunit ribosomal RNA", at positions 44 to 1898 of the family's 3401-position model. Lineage: Eukaryota; Metazoa; Arthropoda; Insecta; Dermaptera; Hemimeridae. The record is from RNAcentral.
UAAUAAGCGGAGGAAAAGAAACUAACAAGGAUUCCCUUAGUAGCUGCGAGCGAACAGGGAGGAGCUCAGCAUAAAAUCUUGUAACUUGACAGUUAUCAAGAGAUGUUAUGUUUAGGGAGUUUCGUUUAUCCUAGAAUGUACACUUAGUCCAAGUCCACCUUGAAUGGGGCAUUACCCAUAGAGGGUGCCAGUCCCGUAGUGACAAGUGUAUAAAAAUCAUUCUAGGUGAAACUUUCCUUAGAGUCGGGUUGCUUGUAAAUGCAGCUCUAAGUGGGUGGUAAACUCCAUCUAAAGCUAAAUAUGACCACGAGACCGAUAGCGAACAAGUACCAUGAGGGAAAGUUGAAAAGAACUUUGAAGAGAGAGUUCAAGAGUACGUGAAACCGUUUAGGGGUAAACGGGAGAAAUCCGAAAAUCUGAAGGAAGUGAUUCACAUAAAUUCUACAUUAUAGUGCACACGGUGAUUGAUGAUCAUUUAAGCUCCUUGCAUGCAAUUUAUUGUAUGUUUCAAGGGUUCCGUUUAAUGUCACAAUUCUCGUGUUGUAUAUUAAAUAUAAUGUGGUUUAUCGCAUUUCAACCUUCCUUAUUAAGAGAAACGUCGCGACCCAUUGGAUUCGAGUUGAAGAUCUUAUAGGGAGUCUCAUAGAAGCUUGGUCACUCCUCUCAAGGGGGUGUCUUUGUCUUUUUCUAUGUAGACCUAUAAAAUAUGAUCUGACUGAUUAUCCGAUGGUAUCAAAAAUUGAAGAUUCACCCGCGUUUUAUGCGCGUUUGAAUAUUUUUGUUAAUUUAUUUUUAUAUCCAAUAAUUAUAAUUUCUUCUAGUUUAUCGGACCUAAUGGCCCGUCUAGGGGUAAUUAUUGGUAACGGAAAUAUUCUCAAACAGUGGUGUAUAUCUUUGUCUGCGGCGAAUAUGUUUCGGAAUUUCGCCCGACCCGUCUUGAAACACGGACCAAGGAGUCUAACAUGUGCGCAAGUCAUUGGGUAUUUUAUAAAACCUAAAGGCAUAAUGAAAGUAAAGAAUUAUUUUUUUUUUUCAAUUUAAAUAAUUUGUGGGAUGAUAGAUGAUAUCCAUUCUCAUCUCCCUGUGUCUGGUGUCUGUUUCUUUUUUCUUACUUGUAAGUUGGGGAAGCAGUAGCAGCAGCACAGUAAGAGUAUGUUGAUGUGUAAAUCUCGCAAUCCCAGGGCGUCUCAUUCUCAUUAUGAGAAGAGGCGCACCUUGAGCGUACACGUUGGGACCCGAAAGAUGGUGAACUAUGCCUGGCGAGGACAAAGUCAGGGGAAACCCUGAUGGAGGUCCGUAGCGAUUCUGACGUGCAAAUCGAUCGUCGGAGCUGGGUAUAGGGGCRAAAGACUAAUCGAACCAUCUAGUASCUGGUUCCCUCCRAAKUUUCCCUCAGGAUAGCUGGCAUUCGUACAAUUGAAAAAUUGAACGAGUCUCAUGCGGUAAAGCGAAUGAUUAGAGGCCUUGGGGCCGAAACGACCUCAACCUAUUCUCAAACUUUAAAUGGGUGAGAACUCUGGCUUGCUUAAAUGAAGCCGUGAGAAUUUUUUUAUUUUUAUUCUAUUUGAUUAUUCUUCUCUUCUUCUUCUUCUUUUACUAUAUAUCACAAAAAAGAUUUUUCUAAACUAUACAUGCAUGCAUGCAUACAUACAUAUAUGUAUGUAUGUAUGUAUGUAUUUUUUUUUAGUAAAACGUGAUUAUAGAAAAAAAAAAAAAAAAAAGAAGUAGUAGUAAAAAAUAAGAAGAAUAAUUCAAAAAUGAAAGAGAGAAAAAAAAAAWAWRAWMARACCCCCAUCCGGGCGAAAGGGAAUCCGGUUCCAAUUCCGGAACCUGGCUCGGAACCGUUUCAUUGUCGUGCCCACUCUUUUAAUACAAGAGUAAGCUCGUCGGGGUAACCCAAAAAGACCCGGAGACGCCGUCGGGAGAUGCGGGCAGAGUUUUCUGUUCUGUAUGAGCGUUCGAGUUCCCUGGAAUCCUCUAGCAGUGAGAUAGGGUUUGGAACGCGUAGAGCACCGCAUUUGCUGCGGUGUCCGCAUCGUCCCCUCGGCCCUUGAAAAUCCGGGAGAGGGCCACGUGGAUGUCUCGAGCCAGAUCGUACCGAUAACCGCAGCUGGUCUCCAAGGUGUGAAGCCUCUUGUCGAUAGAAUA